ACUCCUACGGGAGGCAGCAGUGAGGAAGGUGGGUAUGUUAAUAGCAUAUUCAUUUGACGUUAGCUGCAGAAGAAGCACCGGCUAACUCCGUGCCAGCAGCCGCGGUAAUACGGAGGGUGCGAGCGUUAAUCGGAAUUACUGGGCGUAAAGCGCAUGCAGGUGGUUUGUUAAGUCAGAUGUGAAAGCCCGGGGGCUCAACCUCGGAAUUGCAUUUGAAACUGACAAACUAGAGUACUGUAGAGGGGGGUAGAAUUUUCAGGUGUAGCGGUGAAAUGCGUAGAGAUCUGAAGGAAUACCGGUGGCGAAGGCGGCCCCUGGACAGAUACUGACACUCAGAUGCGAAAGCGUGGGGAGCAAACAGGAUUAGAUACCCUGGUAGCGUCGUC
Molecule: ribosomal RNA, 386 nt
Filed under: uncultured bacterium
Lineage: Bacteria
Description: bacterial SSU rRNA
Rfam family: Bacterial small subunit ribosomal RNA
Source: RNAcentral